Beta vulgaris subsp. vulgaris (sugar beet) is the source of this 835-nucleotide long non-coding RNA. RefSeq lists it as uncharacterized. NCBI's taxonomy places the organism in Eukaryota, Viridiplantae, Streptophyta, Magnoliopsida, Caryophyllales, Amaranthaceae. The record is from RefSeq and is a predicted model, not a curated record. The transcript has 3 exons.
UUUGGAAAUUUAUCAUCAAAUGUAUUUUGGCAAUUUGAUGAGUAAGGGCAUUUUGGUCUUUUACCCCAAAUUGACUACCACUAUAAAAGGGGGAAACCCUAAGUUUUCCAUCUUUCUCCAUCAUUUUCACUAGCCACCUUUUCAAAAGAAAGAGUAAGAUGGGUUUUUGCUCUCAAAUUCUUUCUUCCUCAAGUAAGUUUUCUUUAAGUAAUUUCUUCAAUAAUUCUAGCUUCUAAUCUAGUUUUGUUUUUCAAAAUUAUAGGAAGAUCUUGCAAAUAUCAAAGGGAAGCAAAGAGAUAAUGAUUUUUCUGAAAUUUUUGGGGUUUUCUUCCAUAUUUUUCUCUCUCUUCUCGCCCCUCCCUUUGCUUGCGAAUUCCGGCCACCACGGUGGUGCUUCGCCGGCGAGCUCCGUCGGGAGUAGCGGCCACUGCCGGCCAGCAGUAAGUGACCGGCGACUGGGCACGAGCGCCGCUGCCACCGUCGCGUCAGUGGUGGUGCGGGUGGUGCUUGUGGUGGCGCCGGUUGGGUUUCAAGAAUAAUUAAAGCCAGUCAAACUUUUGACUGUUGAUUUUUGUGUAAUCAAGAGUUUAGAGAAGAAGUUGCAGGUACAAGUUCUUGAUGUGCAUGGAAAUCAUAAGCAUCCGGAUGGGAGUUUUAGUACACGAGUACUUUCUUAUUUAAGUUAUCUUGAAUUUUAUAUUUGACUUUACUUGACCAAUGGGGUCAAGGUUUGACUUUUGAAAUGGGACUAGUAUGGGAUAGUCUCGGAGUUUGUAAUUCAUUUACAUACUUUCUUAUUUCCGUUGUAUUAAAGUAUUUUCAGUUUAUUUUAAAA